RNAcentral lists this long non-coding RNA (305 nucleotides) under Androctonus crassicauda. The record is from RNAcentral. Lineage: Eukaryota; Metazoa; Arthropoda; Arachnida; Scorpiones; Buthidae.
CUUUCUUUCUUGCUUUUAUUAUCUCCAAGGCUUCUGUCAUCAUGGCCUGCGACUUGUUCUGUAGCGGUCUUAUUAUUUUCGUUUCAUCCCAGUGGAUGCGUGUAUCUUUCGUGUAUGCUUCCGCGGCCGGUGCUGUGGUAACGUUGGCUUUCUCAAUGUCUAUCUUGUGUUCACGUGAUCUUUCUGCUGGGGUUCUGCGGGUGGCGCCUGUGUGGGCCGUGUUCUCGCCAGUUUCUGCUGCGUUGACUGGUGUUCUGUGGACUCCCGAAUUCUCAUCAUGUGCUCUUCUCUGUUUCUCGUUCCUU